This 404-nucleotide ribosomal RNA is filed under the name uncultured bacterium. RNAcentral's name for it is "bacterial SSU rRNA". It matches the Rfam family "Bacterial small subunit ribosomal RNA", at positions 355 to 776 of the family's 1533-position model. The record is from RNAcentral.
UGGGGGAUAUUGCACAAUGGGGGAAACCCUGAUGCAGCAACGCCGCGUGAACGAAGAAGGUCUUCGGAUUGUAAAGUUCUGUUCUUGGUGAAGAUAAUGACGGUAGCCAAGGAGAAAGCUCCGGCUAACUACGUGCCAGCAGCCGCGGUAAUACGUAGGGAGCGAGCGUUGUCCGGAUUUACUGGGUGUAAAGGGUGCGCAGGCGGCUCUGCAAGUCAGGCGUGAAAGCUAGGGGCUCAACCCCUAAACUGCGCUUGAAACUGUGGAGCUUGAGUGAAGUAGAGGCAGGCGGAAUUCCCGGUGUAGCGGUGAAAUGCGUAGAGAUCGGGAGGAACACCAGUGGCGAAGGCGGCCUGCUGGGCUUUAACUGACGCUCAGGCACGAAAGCAUGGGUAGCAAACAGG